This 86-nucleotide transfer RNA is filed under the name Desulfobulbaceae bacterium A2. RNAcentral's name for it is "tRNA-Ser". It matches the Rfam family "tRNA". Rfam says of the family: Transfer RNA (tRNA) molecules are approximately 80 nucleotides in length. Their secondary structure includes four short double-helical elements and three loops (D, anti-codon, and T loops). Further hydrogen bonds mediate the characteristic L-shaped molecular structure. tRNAs have two regions of fundamental functional importance: the anti-codon, which is responsible for specific mRNA codon recognition, and the 3' end, to which the tRNAs corresponding amino acid is attached (by aminoacyl-tRNA synthetases). tRNAs cope with the degeneracy of the genetic code in two manners: having more than one tRNA (with a specific anti-codon) for a particular amino acid; and 'wobble' base-pairing, i.e. permitting non-standard base-pairing at the 3rd anti-codon position. The record is from RNAcentral. Lineage: Bacteria; Pseudomonadati; Thermodesulfobacteriota; Desulfobulbia; Desulfobulbales; Desulfobulbaceae.
GGAGGGAUGGCCGAGCGGUUGAAGGCGGCGGUCUUGAAAACCGUUGAACGCAAGUUCCGUGGGUUCGAAUCCUACUCCCUCCGCCA